Molecule: microRNA precursor, 93 nt
Filed under: Canis lupus dingo (dingo)
Lineage: Eukaryota; Metazoa; Chordata; Mammalia; Carnivora; Canidae
Description: mir-8799 microRNA precursor family
Rfam family: mir-8799 microRNA precursor family
Source: Rfam by way of RNAcentral
GGGGGGAGUGCCGGAUCCUGGGCUGUGUCCCUGGCGCCCUGUGCUCCCGAGCCUGUGCUAUUGGAAUCGCUCUCCCGGGCCACACAGCCCCCU